Molecule: unclassified non-coding RNA, 400 nt
Filed under: soil metagenome
Description: partial contains 5.8S ribosomal RNA, internal transcribed spacer 2, and large subunit ribosomal RNA
Rfam family: 5.8S ribosomal RNA (bases 1-121)
Source: RNAcentral
GAUGAAGAACGCAGCGAAAUGCGAUAAGUAAUGUGAAUUGCAGAAUUCAGUGAAUCAUCGAAUCUUUGAACGCACCUUGCGCCCUUUGGCUAUUCCGAAGGGCAUGCCUGUUUGAGUAUCGUGAACACCUCAACUCUCAUGGUUUGCCAUGAUGAGCUUGGACUUGGGGGUUUUGCUGGCCUUCGGUCGGCUCCUCUCAAACGGAUCAGCUUUCCAGUGUUUGGUGGCGUCACGGGUGUGAUAACUAUCUACGCCUGUGGUUUUCUGCCAGAUAACCUUCAGCGAUGGAGGUUCGCUGGGGCUCAUAAAUGUCUCUCUUCAGUGGAGACAGCUUUUUGGACGUUUGAUCUCAAAUCAGGUAGGACUACCCGCUGAACUUAAGCAUAUAAUAAGCGGAGGA